GAUGAACGCUGGCGGCGUGCCUAACACAUGCAAGUCGAACGGAGAUUACGGACGGAAGUUUUCGGAUGAAAGACUGUAAUUCUUAGUGGCGGACGGGUGAGUAACGCGUGGGCAACCUGCCCUAUACAGGGGGAUAGCAGCUGGAAACGGCUGGUAAGACCGCAUAAGUCGGUUAAAUCGCAUGAUUUGAUCGGGAAAUGAGCAAUCAGGUAUAGGAUGGGCCCGCGUCCGAUUAGCCAGUUGGCAGGGUAAAAGCCUACCAAAGCGACGAUCGGUAGCCGGACUGAGAGGUCGGACGGCCACAUUGGGACUGAGACACGGCCCAAACUCCUACGGGAGGCAGCAGUGGGGGAUAUUGCACAAUGGAGGAAACUCUGAUGCAGCGACGCCGCGUGAGUGAAGAAGUAUUUCGGUAUGUAAAGCUCUAUCAGCAGGGAAGAUGAUGACGGUACCUGACUAAGAAGCCCCGGCUAACUACGUGCCAGCAGCCGCGGUAAUACGUAGGGGGCAAGCGUUAUCCGGAUUUACUGGGUGUAAAGGGAGCGCAGGCGGUUUUGCAAGUUGAGAGUGGAAGCAGGGGGCUCAACCCCCUGACUGCUCCCAAAACUGUAAAACUUGAGUAUGGGAGAGGCAGGCGGAAUUCCUAGUGUAGCGGUGAAAUGCUUAGAUAUUAGGAAGAACACCGGUGGCGAAGGCGGCCUGCUGGACCAAAACUGACGCUGAGGCUCGAAAGCGUGGGUAGCAAACAGG
RNAcentral lists this ribosomal RNA (750 nucleotides) under uncultured Catonella sp. RNAcentral describes it as "bacterial SSU rRNA". It matches the Rfam family "Bacterial small subunit ribosomal RNA", at positions 28 to 776 of the family's 1533-position model. The record is from RNAcentral. Lineage: Bacteria; Bacillati; Bacillota; Clostridia; Lachnospirales; Lachnospiraceae.